GUUUGAUCAUGGCUCAGGAUGAACGCUAGCGAUAGGCCUAACACAUGCAAGUCGAGGGGCAUCACAUGAAGUAGCAAUACGGAUGGUGGCGACCGGCGCACGGGUGAGUAACGCGUAUGCAAUCUACCUACAACAAGGGGAUAACCCGUUGAAAGACGGACUAAUACCCUAUAAUACAGGGGUCCCGCAUGGGAAUAUUUGUUAAAGAUUCAUCGGUUGUAGAUGAGCAUGCGUUCCAUUAGCUUGUUGGUGAGGUAACGGCCCACCAAGGCAACGAUGGAUAGGGGAACUGAGAGGUUUAUCCCCCACACUGGUACUGAGACACGGACCAGACUCCUACGGGAGGCAGCAGUGAGGAAUAUUGGUCAAUGGACGCAAGUCUGAACCAGCCACGUCGCGUGAAGGAAGACGGCCCUACGGGUUGUAAACUUCUUUGUAAGGGAAUAAAGUGAGUCACGCGUGACUUU
Molecule: ribosomal RNA, 467 nt
Filed under: uncultured Proteiniphilum sp.
Lineage: Bacteria; Pseudomonadati; Bacteroidota; Bacteroidia; Bacteroidales; Dysgonomonadaceae
Description: bacterial SSU rRNA
Rfam family: Bacterial small subunit ribosomal RNA
Source: RNAcentral